RNAcentral lists this long non-coding RNA (751 nucleotides) under Sus scrofa (pig). RNAcentral describes it as "lncRNA (ENSSSCG00040007013.1)". Lineage: Eukaryota; Metazoa; Chordata; Mammalia; Artiodactyla; Suidae. The record is from RNAcentral.
AUGACAAAUGUCAGUAGCGGAGGACAAGAUAUGGGUGUUGUUCCCAGAUAUGAAGGGGAGAUGACACCAACACAGAGAAAUAGUUGCAACAUGGCAGAGAAGCCCUGCUCCUUGUGUUCAUUCAAGACUCAAGUUCUCUCAAAGUCCUUUUUUCUGACAAUGCCAAGGGCACUGUCAUCACCUGCAAGGUCUAUGCUGGAUUCCACUUUGCGGGGAUGGAUUUCCACCUUGCUGUUGGCAAGGGGAGUAAGCAAGCUCAAGCUCAAGACCUCACAGAUCACUUCUCUUCAAUUCCAUCAGCGAGAACUUGGUAUGUGGCUAUUCUUAACCACAAGAGAGCCAGGGAAAUGCAAUCUAGCUGGGCAGUUAUGUGUCCAAAUGAAGGACAGAAUGUAUUUUUCACAGACAACCAGCAGUCUUGCCAUCAAGUCCUUGUUAUUUUUCUUUUCUUUUCUUUUUUUGGGGGGGGGGUCACACCUAUGGCAUAUGAAAGUUCCCCAGCUACAGGGUCAAGUCAGAGUUUCAGCUGCCGGGCUAUGCCACAGCCACAGCAACUCGAGAUCUGAGCCUCGUCUGUGACCUACACCACAGCAACGCCAGAUCCUUAACCCACUGAGUGAGGCCAGGGAUUGAACCUGCAUCCUAACAGAUACUAGCCGGAUUCGUUUCUGCUACGCCACAAUGAGAACUCCCCAAGUUCUUGUUAAGAACAUGAAAUAAACAAUUGGAGUGUCAAAUAUUGUCUGUGACU